GUUCGCGCGGAGUCGGAGGUGCAGGGUGCCUUAGACGCGGACCGGACGCCCGACGCGUCCUCCUCAGACAAACCGCAGUGCGUCGUAGUCUUGUGAGCAGACCUGUUCCAAAGCUGCACGUCUUCCAGACGCCGCUUCCAAAGACAAUGGUGAGACGAAGGAAUCGAGCGCCGCAAAGGAGGGCGCUUCUUGAGGAUUUUGUGGCGCACUUGGAAACACUCGAGCAUGCGCUCGUCUUCAUCCUACAGGCUUUGUUGGACCUGGAGGUGCUCUUCCUCGAUCUGUGCCCCGCUUUGCGAAGCAGGCUUUAAACACUGCGCUGCCACAUGGACGUCAUUUUUUUUCCUUUGUUCAAUUUUGAUGGAGCAGCACAUCUUGCUCACAUGAAUAUACGCUGCAUUUCUCCUUUCUUCACUGUUAGUGGCCAAAUUGACUACGACUGGGGAGAGUGUUCUGCUGGUCCCGUAAAACACUCCUCACAGCAGCAUUUCAUAAUAAAAUAGGCAACCAAAAUGUGCA
This is a long non-coding RNA of Dermacentor andersoni, 519 nucleotides long. RefSeq lists it as uncharacterized. The record is from RefSeq and is a predicted model, not a curated record. Lineage: Eukaryota; Metazoa; Arthropoda; Arachnida; Ixodida; Ixodidae.